CGUCUAUAUACGUAUAGCAUAUCAAUAAGCGGAGGAAAAGAAACUAACAAGGAUUCCCUUAGUAACGGCGAGUGAAGCGGGAAGAGCUCAAAUUUGAAAUCUUCAAGGUUUUACCUUGACGAAUUGUAGUUUAAAGAAGUGUUUUCUGUUGAAGUUUUGGUAAAAGUUCUUUGGAAUAGGACAUCAUAGAGGGUGAGAAUCCCGUAUUUGACCAUUAUUUUCAGCUGUGUGAUACACUUUCAAAGAGUCGGAUUGUUUGGGAAUGCAGUCCAAAAUGGGUGGUAAAUUUCAUCUAAAGCUAAAUAUUGGCGAGAGACCGAUAGCGAACAAGUACCGUGAGGGAAAGAUGAAAAGAACUUUGAAAAGAGAGUUAAACAGUACGUGAAAUUGUCAAAAGGGAAGCGUUUGACACCAGUGUCGUUUUUCCGAAAAUCAAUUACGAAUGGCUUGAUUUUGUGUUGUAUCUGACCUUAUCAGCUUUCUGCACUUUUUUCGAGUCUUUCUUAAUGCACUUUUCGGUUAACAAGUCAACAUCAAUUUCUUUUGUUGUAAAAGGAGUAUGCGGAAGGUGGCUUUCUUUUCGGAGAAAGUGUUUAUAGCCCUAUACUUCUACAAUCGGAGAGAUUGAGGUCUGCAGCGUAGAUCCUUCGGGGUUAGAUACAUUUGUGCUAAGUUGUAGCUUUUCAUAGACAACUUGUUGACUAUGUUUAGUCAUGCGGCUUACUCGCUUAUGCUAUUUUACCUACGCUUAGGAUGUUGACUGAUAUGUAGUCGUA
RNAcentral lists this ribosomal RNA (776 nucleotides) under uncultured Neocallimastigales. Its description in RNAcentral is "partial large subunit ribosomal RNA". It matches the Rfam family "Eukaryotic large subunit ribosomal RNA", at positions 26 to 644 of the family's 3401-position model. The record is from RNAcentral. Lineage: Eukaryota; Fungi; Neocallimastigomycota; Neocallimastigomycetes; Neocallimastigales.